UUUUUUUUUUUUUUGUGAUUUUGAAAAAUGUACCCAUGUUUGAUACAAUAAUGUUUUUGGUUAAUUUUGAUGAAUGUACCCAUGUUUAUAUAUAUAUACACACACACACAAUAGUAUAUUUAUAUUUUAAUAUUUUUAAUCCCACAAAUUAUGGUUUUUUAUUUAAAAUCUCAUUUAUAUAAACAACUAAAAUUUCUAAUUUUUAAUUUAAAAAUUAUAGUAACGUACAUAGAAAUGAAUUAUCACAUUGAUUUUAGGAAUCUCGAUCAAAAAUUAAAAAUCAACAAGAUUUCAAUAAAAAAAUAUUUAUAGCUAAAGACCGCAUCUAAAGUCUCCAAAAAAAAUUAAAAUGAGAAAUGAAUCGAACGUCCCCUAUUUUUCUCUUCAUCCCUUUCUAACUCUUUUAUCGUCCUCCAUCUUCUAUCUCUUGCAUCCACCCCACCUACCCCACGCCAAAUUCUGUCUUUUCUUUUCUCCCUACUUUUCAACCCUUAGUACUCAAUUGGAAUUCGAGAAUAAAUAUGGAUAAGAAUAUUAAUUCCAGAUCUGGUAACGAGAGAGAGAAAGAGAUCUAGAAAAACAAAGAAAGGAGAGGACAAAGAAAGGAAGGUAAGUUUUCCAGCAGCAAAGGGAAAAUGAGCUACUGCAGUCAUAUGUGGUUGCUUUCAGCUAGGUGGGUGGGGACUUUUGUGGCAGUUCCAUUUUCGAAAAUCUCCAGGAUUAAAUCAUUCUUUAUAUUUAUUUUAUUUAAAAUUUAAACAUGUUAGGGAUAUUUUUUGGAAUACAAGUGGGUGGAAAUGGAGUGUUUGGUUUUUUAAACAUUUUAUGGUGGGUGAAAAUUCAACGUGAGUAAGAAAAUAAGAUUAUAGGAUGAGCAUUGUAGAACUAUAUAGGUUUUUAUUUUUAUUUUUAAUAAACGAUAUUAUCUACACUAAGGGGAGGGGAUGUGUUUAGCUUCACAAAGAGCUAGCAAUAAUGUGGUUCAAAUUAAAUUUGUCUUUGGCGAGAAAACAUCUCACUUACAAGUAAAGAGGAAUACCACUAGACUGUAAUACUAAGUGGCUAAAUAGUUUUUUUUUUUUAUUUUUUCAAAUACAAUGGUGGCGUAGUAAUCUGUCUUGUCUAUUAUUGAGUACCAAAAGUUUUUUUAUGUUUAAUUUUAUACUUGAAAGAAAAUGAAACGUAAAUAUACAACAUAUUUCUAUAUGGCAUGCUUCUUGUAACAUCUCAUAUCGUCCAGAGGAGUGGAUUAUGUAAGCCUUAUAUGUAUAUUCCUAUCUUUACCUAGCAUAAGGUCUUUUAGGAGCUCACUAGCUUCGGGUUCCAUCAAAACUCCGAAGUUAAGCGAGUUCGCGUGAGAGCAUUCCCAAGAUGGGUGACCCACUGGGAAGUUCUCGUCAAGUUCCCAGAAACAAAACCGUGAGAGUGUGGUAGAGGCCCAAAACGGACAAUAUCGUGUUACGGUGGAGCCGAGCCAGGGAUGUGGUGGGGGCCCGAGCCAGGAUGUGACAAUUUGGUAUCAGAGUUAAUCUCUGGUUGGAAGUGUGCCGACGAGGACGUCGGGUCCCUAAAUGGGGUGGAUUGUAACAUCGCACAUCACCCAAGGAAGUGGAUCCUAUAAACCUUAUAUGUAUAUUCUCAUCUCUACCUAGCACGAGGCCUUUUGGGAGCUCACUGGCUUCAGGUUCCAUCAGAACUCCGAAAUUAAGCGAGUUCGCGCAAGAGUAUUCUCAUGAUGGGUGACCCACUGGGAAAUUCUCAUAUGAGUUUCCAGAAACAAAACUGUGAGGGUAUGGUAGGGGCCCAAAGCGGACAAUAUCGUGCUACGGUAGAGUUGAACCCAGGAUGUGAUGGGGGCUCGGGCCGGGAUGUGACACUUCUCACAUGUAUUUCAUGAUAAAAUUGUCUCAUUUAAUAAUCAAUCAACAAUAAUUAAUUAAUAUGAGUGAACAAUUAUCCUUAGUAAAUGUCAUACUCAUUUAAAAAUAAUUAAAAGAUAAUAACUUAAUUAUCUCAUGCAAUCAAAGACUUUAUUGGUGGCUCUUUACAAUAGUGGUAAAAAGGUGUUGAGGCCUUACAUUACGGCAUAGGUUCAAAUCUUGUCGGCUUCUAAUCUAAUAUCUAAAGUUUAGCUUAAGCAUUGGAAAGCUUUUGGUUCACAUCACACCAAUGUGACAAGGUCUUAACAAUCUUUUCUUUCUUGUGUGCAAGAACACCGACAUCAUUCUGCGUUUGUGUCAAAAUCGUUAAUAUCAAAUUUUAAGCAAGGAAAAAAAUCUUAAUAUUUAAAAGUCUAUUAUUUUCUCCACAAAAGGGUCUCUUUUUUUUUUAAUAUGCUAACAUGGAAGUUUUUAUUUUGAAUUGUGCUAAUAUGGAAGUUUAAGCAAAGGAAAAAAAAAUCCUAAUAUCAUUACUUUAUUAAUUAUGACCCAUAUAUCAAAUACUAUAAGCAGUAAGCACCCCUAAUCACGACGUCAUUCUACGCAUACUUCAUUUGUGCGAAAUUCGUAAUGAUAAGUAAUAAGUAUUUUUUUUAGAAUAUGCUAAUAUGGGAGUUUUUUUUUUUAUUGUGCUAAUAUGGAAGUUUAAUCACAGGAAGAAAAAAAAAUCCUAAUAUCAUUAAUUUAUUGAUUAUGGCUCAUACAUCAUAUACUAUGAGCAGCAAGCACCCCUAUUUUUCUUUUUGUAAAAUCAUUAAUGUUCUCUUACAAUCCGCAUGGAAUUAAUAGUCUACACAAAAAAUUCAGAUAAGAAUGUUCUACACAAAAAAUUCAGAUAAGAAUGUUCUACACAAAAAAUUCAGAUAAGAAUGGUUUAGACAUCCAACAAAAUUUAAACGUGUAAAAUCAAACAUAAUUAAUGAAUUUGCUAAUGUGGAAUUUAAUUAAUGCGUUUUAUUAGAAUAAAAAACUUACGUCGGGUUUUUUUUGUAGAGAAAAUUAAGUUUCAGUGGCUAAAGUCAUAUUUGUAUUAAUAAUUUUUUUAACAAGGUAUUUCUAUACUUACUUAUAUGGGUUUUGACUGCUAAUAUGGGAGUUUUUUUUUUCUUUUUUUUUUUUUUUGAGAAUAUGCUAAUAUUUAUGGAAUUUUAAGAAAAGGAAACAAAUCCUAAUAUUCUUAAUUAUUAAUUAAGGCCAUAUAUCCAUAUACUAUAAAGCAGUAAGCACCAUCCAGCCAACCCAAACCACCAUUGAACCCUUCUAGCAGAAAAUAAUGACUGCAGUUGAUCACAAACAUCAACUACCCAAACCAAACAAUGGUUUAGCCAAACCAAACAAUUUACAAACACAAACAAAAAUGCAAACAAAUGCGCGAAAGCGGUACAUAGAUGCUACCAUUGCAGCAGCCCUCAGCAAUAAUAUGUCACAAACUUCAAAGAACCCUCUUGAUGAAUUGCCUCGUCUUAAACUCGAAUUUUACCCUUAUGGCAUGUACAUUGUACAACUUGGGCUUGGCACUUUCGAUGCGAAGUUCCCGGCCAGCACAUUCAAAACAUACUACUUGUACACAGACACCGGGAGCCAACUCAUUUGGACUCUGUGUGAGGACUGCCUAAAGCAAAAGCCUCAACCGAAAUGCUUUAAAACCAGGGAUCCCCCCUUCCCUAACAGCCAGUCCAAAACCUAUAUGCCUCUUCCUUGUGGUGGCCACCGCCUUUGCAAGCCAGGCAAAUGCAAAGGGGGUAUCUGCUCCAUGGACUCUAAGUACCAGGACGGCAGCGGUGUCCGUACUACUCUCGGAAGUAUGGAUUUUGACAUUAAAUUUAAGUUUUGAUAAUAUUAUCCAAAUCUUUGCAAUAUUUAUUAGUUACAUACAAAAUAGAGCUAGAUGGACACCACCAUAAUUUUUUCAUGCAGAUUUUUUAGAGUGUUUGUCAGUUUUGUAUGCUUAAGUAACAUUUUUUUUUCUUAUUUGAAAAGUUCAUGUUCACCACUUAACUUUACAAGACCAAAUACUCAUUGGCCAACAAAAUUUUAAUUUAAUUAUCUCAUGAUAUCGAUAUUUAUUUUAGUUAUGGUCCUUAUAUCUAAUAUUUUGUUCAUAUCUGAACUUUAAUGGUAUUAUAACAUUCUUUCUAAACCUUUUGUAUGUUCGCUUACAUCGAUAUUUAGUACGUGCACCGGCUAGCACAACUAACUUGACACAUAACACGAAAGUUGUUCACUAAUGAAAAUGUCAUUCCGUAUAAUUUCUCAUUUCAUUGCAGGUGAAGCUUUCAGUCUUUUGACAACCAGCGGGCGUGCACAGGCUAUUGGUAACAUAGUGUUGGGUUGUGCUUAUGAAGCGACGGCGGACAUCUUUGGCGCGGGUGAGGACUAUAAGGUAUCCGGAAUGUUGGGUUUGGGAUAUAAUCCUAUUUCCUUUCCAAACCAAAUAUCCCAUCUUAUUGAUGGAGCAUUCUCAUUCUGCCUAACACGCCGGAGAGAUGUUCAAACAUAUCUCCGAUUUGGUUCCGACAUCCCCCAACCACUUGGUGGCGUACGCGUCACGCCAUUAGUUCUUUCUGAUCUCGUACCCUAUUACCAUGUCAACUUGAAGGCAAUAAGUGUGGAUGGACACAAGCUUCUAAUUAAUCCGACGGUUUUUGAGAUCCGGAAGCGGGGGACAGAAGGAGGAUGUAUUAUAGACAAUGGAAGUUCUUUUACUCUUCUCAUCAACCCUGCUCACAAGGCAUUGGUUAUGCAUCUGGAGUACCAUUUUAUGAGAUACCCUAGCUUUAAUAAGGUUCUUCCCCCUAUUUACCCGAAGUUUGAGCUUUGCGACAACUGGUCGCCGCCUCCGCGCGAGGCUAACGAGGCCCUCCCUACUAUUACCUUUCACUUUGAUGGUCCGAACCAUCCUAACAUUGACGUCGCACCCGAAAGCGGUUUCAUAUUGAUGCACGACCGGUCGUCUAACAGAGAUAUUUUAUGCCUGGCGUUCGCUUCAGAUGAUGUUCGUACUAUUUUUGGAUCAUGGCAACUAAGCGAUUACAGAUACAUAUUUGACCUUAAAAGGAGCCUACUCAAGUUUGCUCCAGAGGAUUGUGCUAAGAAUUCUUGAGCAGCUCAAAGCUUAGACGAUCAUGCAUGUCUAUGUUUUCUAUUUAUAUGUAGGUUCUCUUUGGCUGAAAAUAAAUUGCCUCAAGUUCCCUUAUGAUGAUUUGGUCAUGUAAUCUUCUUCCUUUGAUAUAUAGGAGUUGGAUCCUCUCAUUUUCUCUCUCAUUUCAUUUAAUCAGAAUCCAAAUAUUUGAGUUUUUAUUUUGUUUUCUGGAAGAUUGCUCUUGAAUUACAACUUUUUCGCUCGCAUUUUCUCCUUAUGCACUCUUCUGUUUGUUCAACCCAAAGGCUAUAAAAAGGGAAGGAAAGUACGCAUAGGAAGUGCAGAAUCUCUUCCUUAAAGGAGAUAAAAUGGAAUAAUGUAGUACAUUGAACAAUGUACAAUCUAUUUUUGAGAAAAAUAAGUAUUUUUUUUUAUGUUUACUUGGUUAAACAAAUACAUAAAAUUGUUAGUUUAUAAAACGAAAAACUAAAUACAAUAUACAACAAUUAGGGAAAUAUAGAAUGCCUUGAUAAAUUAAGGAAAAUAUAUUGGGUUGAAAGGGCAGUGUUGUAAAAUGAGACCCUUAACUCAAGUGAGGCCCAAGGUAGACCUUGGUUUCCUUGCUUGGUACCGGGCCCAAGUCUCCGUAUACCUAGUAAUAUUUUGAGAAUUUUAAUGAAACAUUUAUAGUAUUGUUCACUUUUUAACGUUAAAGACAUUUUUACUUUAAAAAAUCACUCCUGAUACUAUUCACUUACAACAUAUUUUUGUCAUUUUGAUUAAAAUUCAAAGUUUUUAAGUCUUUUUCAUUAGUUUUCCUUAAUAUUCUUGAAUAAUCCAAUGGUAGUUCUCUUCUCCACCAAUCCGCUCCUAGUUCCUAACCCCAUCCAAUCCACGCCACCAAACAUGGCGUAUUCUAAUCCCAUCCAAUCCUGAUUCUCGGGAUAGAAAAACGGAGAAUGGUUUCCCCUCUCUUCUUUGAACCUGCGAUCCAAACUCCCACAAACGAAACGAGAGGAGACCAUCAUAUUCCAGUUUAAAGGAAAAAGAAGUUUGAGCCAUAAUUUAACCCGAAAGAUUUCGAAAAAUACGAAAAUAAAAUAAAAAGAAAGAAUAAGGAAAAAGUUUUCAUCUAAGUACAAAACUACAAACUACUUGGAGUCCAAGCAUUACGACAGUGGAUUGCAACCUACUUGCCGAUCAUUCGCACGCAAUCUUGGUGUCAAAGCUGCUAAGGCAAAUGGCAAAUGCCUGAAAGGCUGAGAUUGGAUACCGAUAAUCCAUGGUGAAGACAUCCUUACCCACUUUUCCAAACUGAAGAAUGACAUUUUCAUGCUCCUGGCCCGCAACUCCAUUCUCCGGAGAAGAAACCAGCUGAAAAUUUUUGACUGAGGCAACUGUUACUCGUCCAUUGAAGUUGAGACACCAGCACUGGAGCUGUUCGUGCCACCUAGGCGCCUUGUUUCUCAAUACCAGCAUGCCUUCAUUCUCACCAGACUCUAGUGGAGAUGGGAAAUUCUCUGUCCGGGUUGAUUUUGAUCUGAAAAAAGGGACGGAUGGAAAACUAUCCGUGUUGCUAUGCAGAAAUUCAGUCUGUGUUGGUGCCACACCUCCUGGCUCAACAGCACGGGCAGGGAUGGAGUCCAUUACACACUGCAUUCUCCUCGGACCUCUGAUAUUGACAGUAUUUACAUAAAAUGUUACUCACAAAAAAACCACAAGAAAAAGGAAAGUUACCAUCUUAAAGCUUUUGGUAAAUUGUCUUCAACGUUAGUUUCAUUUAAAGGCAAAGACCAGGAAGUUUCAAAAAGAAGUUUAUCAUACCUGGCACCCAUGACGUUCAACUCAUAAGCAAUGUGGGCCACAGGAUAGUUGCCAGCAGGAACUCUGGGAGAGACUUUAUUCACAAGCCUGGUUGAACGACAUUUAGUGACUUUGCCUCCACUAUUAGUAGGUUGCGCAUCAUAGAUUGUGAAUUUAGUGCCCAGAAAAUUUGAUCUGUUUGAGGAAAAUGGGCCAAACAACUUAGGGCUAAAAGAUGAUCAAGAUGUAGUCAUGUUACAGGGCUGAUGAGCAUACCUGAGUUUUCCAACAAAGGCACUGUUCCCUUUUGACACAACCUCGGCAUUCAAAGAGAUGAUGUAGUCUGUGCAGGUUGGGCGUCUACACUUUUUUGCCGCAAGAAGGAACUUCCCAUCAUCAGUUGAGGCUGGCAAGUACAAAAUGCUAAAACAAUUAUAUUUACAUCUGGGAAGAAAACCUGAACUUAAAAUCUAUGUUUUAGCAACUUAAUGAAACCCGAAAUCAAAACCUUAUCAACCUUUUACCAUGAGCAUUAUAGACAACCCUAUAAAAGAAAAACUUGGCAAGCACAACCACACAGGACAAAACAUUCAGUAAUUACCUUGACUUAAACCCAGAAAAAGAUAAUAUGUCUGGUUGCUACGACUCCGCUUUAUAUAACACUGCAGGAGGGAGUUCCUUGGACCAGGCUGCAAAAUAGUAAACAAAGACUUCAACUGAUAUUUCAAUGGAGAAGGGGUAGAUAUGAUAACAACAUGAUUGUCGAGUAAUAAGAAAUUAAUCUAAGAAGCUUUAUGAAAACUUCUAAUGAGAAUAUAUGUCAAAUUUUUAAAAAAUCACAUCAAUCACAAGAAUGUUAACCUUCAAAUCAGUCCAAAAUGUUACAAAAUUUUAACGUGUCGAGUAAUAAGAAAUUAAUCAAAGAAGCCUUACGAAAACUCUUAAUGAGAAUAUAUGUCAAAUUUUAAAAAAUCACAUCAAUCACAAGAAUGUUAUCGUCUUUGGAAAACUUUCAAAUCCAUCCAAAAUGUUACAAAACAUCAACACUUGAGCUAGUCAGUUGUUGCCUACCCUAUACAUUAAAACUUUUCAUUUGGUCCUUCAAAAUUAUAAAGAUCACAUAACGUGAGCGUUAUAACCAUUACUAAGUGAAACACUCAUACCAGUAUACACAGUGUCCAUCAUAAUUCAUGAAUAUGCAUGUCAAAAUUUGCCAGCUAGCAUUGUUACAUACGAUAUAAGCAUAUUUUCCUAACUCUGAAUAUCAAUUCUAAGUUAUACCAAGAAACAUAUUAACGAAAAAUAAAUACAUUAUAAAGCACAAUUGGAAAAUAUAUGAACAAGAAUCUUUACUAGGAAGGAUGCGUGCCGGUCUCACAAACCUGCUUCAAAGAGAUCGGGAAUGUCAGCUUGCCCGAAACUUCUGGGGAUUUCACAAUCUCUUUCAUGAUUUCUCUCCAAUUCCUGCAAACACCAGCACAACACACCACAUUUUUCCUCGGAGGCCAUGUAUCAUCAGAGGCCUCUAUUCUCAUCAACACAUCCCUCAAAAGCUCCGGAGGCAUAUUCGCCCAACAACUCUGCUUCAAAGCAUCAACGCGAAACGAGGUAUCCUGAACAACCCGCUGAGACCUCGAUCUCAUUCCAAAUUUAACAUCAAAGCUUUUCCUAGAAAUGCUCCCCAACUCACCUUUCAUAUCUUGAAUCAUACUCUUAAAAGACAUCGCUGCUUCCCUAACCCUUGCCUUCGCAAAACUCAAAACCGCAAAACUUUGUACAAACCCUCCAACCUCUCCAGAUUAACCCACAUUCAUCACAAAAAACCAGAACUUCACCAUGAAAUGUAAGAUAAUUAGCCCUAAGAAACAAAACCCAGAAACCUAAACCACCAAAGUUUGAUGCUUUCAAUCAAAGUAGCCAACCAUUAACAAUUCAAUAUAAAAUUUCUUCCCUCAAAUGUGAAUCCAAUAAACACCAUCCUAUAUAUCAUUGAUAAAUCCAAUAACUGAAACAUACCCAGUACAGAUCAAACCGCCAAAUAGAAUCAAAAUCUGAUAUUUUCCCACAGAUCUCUCUUUCCAACAGUUGCAAAAUCACCCUACGAGAAACUUAAAGUCUAACGUCUCGGAUAAACCAUUAAAGCUUCACACUUCUACAGAGAUUGAGCCAAACCAACCUCAGAAACCAGCUUACAGGACCAGAUUUUGAGUCAGAGACUGAUACCCAUUUGCGAAAAUGAUGUGAAUUUGGGCGCGGAGGAUUUACAUGGCUUUGGUGAUCAGUGUUUUUGCGCUGCACCGCUGAGAGAAGAGAACACUGUGAUGGCAGAUGAUGGGUUCUGUUACCAAUACACUCCCUCCUCCUUAUCCAUAUACUUCCUAGUUCCUAUUGUCCGAAUUCGAGUUUGGUUCCGGGUUUGGAUAGUUCUGGAUGGAUUGGAUUAAUGGGUUUUGGUUUUUCUAGUUUAGCCCAACCCAACAAUGGAUUGAUAAGAUUAAACAUGGCAUUUGAACAAUUUUGACAUGAUAGUGGAAUGGAGAGUGGUUCGGGCAUAACCUCCCCUUUGAACACUUUUGCAUUAACCCGUUGGAUUUAAUUUAUUGAUUUGGAGUGGAUUUGGUUUUAAAUGGUUAGAUUUUUUUCAACCGUUGAAAGUUUCUGAGCGCUUAAUGGCGCGAAAGUAUUGUCGUAAUAAUGAAUAUAUAUUGACGUAAUUUUACUGUUUUGUUUUUGGAAAUUUGACAAUUGCGAGGUUCUAAGUUUUGUCAUAACAAUAAGUAGAUAUUGCAAAAUUAACUAUUUUCGUUAUGUGAAUUGUACCGUUGAAAGGUUGUGAGCACUUAUGGCGCACACAUAUUGUCGCACAGUAAGUAAAUAAUGACAUGUUUACCAUAUUAUGUGAAUUGUUGCAAGGUUAUGAGCAUUUAAUGCCACACAAGUAUUGCAGAAAUAGAGACUAGAUAUUGGCAUAUUUACUAUUUUGGCUAUAUGAUUCGACCGUUGAAAAGUUAAGAUCGCUUAAAUUGCACACAAGUAUUAUCUAUGACAAUGACAUGAACCAAUCCGUUCUAGAAUUUUUGGAAGGGAUUUUUCAGUGUGAUCGGAAUACGAGAUGAUACACUACGUGUUAUUAUACAAAUCGUGGGAUAUGUGUGUUAAAAAGUUAAUAACUUACAAAAAUGAAAUUUCCUACCACUUAUAUAAAAACACGUGGUGUACCACCCAUGUUCAGAUAUAAUGAAAAAUUGGCAUCUCUGUACCUUUGUCCUGCUCUCAUAGGAUAAUUCGUGAUAAAGGUUAUUGAACCUUUUUCUCUCCAGAUUUGAGUGAAUAGGUAUGUAUCCAGACGCAGUCACGUAGUCCUUCCAAAUGCUUAUUUCUUGUCUGGACAAAUGCACCUAGUUUUCAAUAUGGGGUAGUGUCAUUGGUGGAUAGUUUUCAUUAACUGGGAGGUCAGCGACCAAAGAUCACUGUGACUGUGUAGAAAAUUUAGUUCUCGUCUUGGCCGAUGGUCUAAUGUUUCAAGUACGAUUGCUACUUCUGUUUUUGAUGGAUGGCUUGUGAAGAUUGAUGAUGAAAACUCAAGAGACUUGAUCAAUUUUUACAAAGGGGACUAUUUUUUUCUUAAAUAAGUAUAAAAAUGGCAGAUGAAUUUGGAUAUUAUAUCUGCCUCAUUUGAAGAAUCUGCUUAAGGAAAGAUUAUUGUUACGAGCGUGCAUGGACGAGGAAUCUGCAUUUGUUGUGAAUGAUGAUCAUCUUAAGAAGGAAAGUCGACAUCCAUUGACGUUGAAUCUGCAAUUGUAUUUGGAUCACGUUGGGUUUGGUUUGAAGUGCUGGGGAAGCAGGCAAAGAAGGCAGCCUGCAUAUUUGGAAAGGAAGCUAGAAAAUUUGCAAAAGAAAAGUCAGCAAGUGGAGAAGAAAAGGAUGUCUAGGAGUAGGAGUACCGUUUGCAUUGAUCGUAGUUUUGGAAGCCUUUGCUCGAUAGCUCUUGUUGUCCCGGCAGCGGAAGCUGUCCAUAUUAGGUUCGAGGCACAAUGCAGACUGCAAAGAUCAACCAAGUAAACAAAGCUCUAAAAUUGAAACUCAUCGCUAAUGACGAUUCUCUUCUGGUUUGUAUGGUUGGCAAACUGACCAAGUUGAAGAAGUUGUCACCUUUAAUAUUCUCAUGGGUGCAUAUAGCAAAAAAAUAAGAUUUUUUGAGUGCAUCGAUAUUUUUUACAUUAAAAGGAAGGGAAGUUCAGCUAAGUCAUACAAUGAACAGCCUAAUUUGAAUAACUAAAACAUCUCAUUUCUAAGUAAAAAAAAAUACCAGCAUACCGUAGUAUUUGAUGCUAAAAAUAGAGAUUUAAGUUUGUUGGAAAGCUGCUGGUAGAAGUGAAGCUAUUUGUGAGAAUGGAGCCAAAUGUCGGAAUAAAAUGUAAAAAUGCCAAGUGGCAUCUCUGUAUUGGAUAUCUAUUUGUACUCUUGUCCUGCUCUCAUUUGUCAAUGUCCAACUUGACUUGGGAAAUAGAGUUUUACUUUGGGUAAUUAGGAGAUAACGUUGGGAAGACGAAAAUUUUAAAUUAAAUUUGUAAAUUAAAUGAUGUGUCACUAAUAAAAAAAUAAGCACGUUAAUCAGUAAUUAAGUAAUAAUUCAACCAUCAACGAUCACAUCAUUUCAUUGCAUAAAAUACGGUCCGAUACAUCAAGAGUAAUGAUAUAAUUUGUUAGAAUUUUUUUCUCAAAUUUUCAAUUAAUUGUAUUAUUAUAUUUGAUAUACUAAGUCGUAAUCCGUCACAUUAAAAAAUUUGUCCUCGAAACAAGUGAGAAUGACAAUUAAGAUAAAAAAGGGAAAUGUAGCUAACAUUUCUCAUUUUAAUUAAGGGGUGUGAUAUCCACACACCUCAUUUUACUUCUCACACACCUUUUUAAUUUUCGGCCGUCGGAUCGGAUGAAUUGAAGAAGAUCAACGGACAUAAAUCAUCAAGGAGUGUGUGAGAAGUAAAAUGGGGUGUGUGGAUAGCACACCCCUUUAAUUAAUUUGUUUCCUUUUCCUUAAUCGUCUACAAAAACAAGGUCAGAGUUUUUGUAGUUAUUAUAAGCAACAACGACUAAUUAUAAGCAACAACUACUCAAACUUCAAAGCCGGCCGUUGCUGUUAGUUGCCCAAUUGGCGGGGAAUAUUAUAAUUUCCUCGUCGCGUAGACUGCACAACACGGUUAGAUCCAGAUCCCACUUCAAUCCAACGGCCGUAUAUCUCCCGCCGUAUCUAACCCAACAGUCCCCGUCACCGUUGCCUAUAAAUACUCCUUUCUCCUUUCUUUCGGGGUCUUUCAGGUUUCUGCUUUUCUCUCUCUAAAUACUCGUUAAUAACUCCCUCGCAGUCACUCUCUCUCUAGAACUCUUUGAUUUCUUCUGUAUCUGAAACUCCGCCUACGCCGAUUGUACUCCGACUCGAAUUCUCUCUCCUUCUGCUGUGGAUUGCGAUCACAGGUGAGCGAUGUUAUUUUUCUGACUUCUGUUUGGUUUCCGAGAAAGUGGAAGAAAAUUUGAAAAGAAAGUUUUUUUACUUAGAAAGAAAAGGAAACUUUCUUUUAAGAUUUCUUAAAGCCUUAAGCUUUACCUGAAAAUCGCACUUAGUGUAUUUGUUCUAUGUGUUUGAAUUUCAUUAAAUUUUUGUUAACGUUUGGUUAAAAUCUUCAUUAGCGUAUACGAUCGAAUGCUUGAUUUUUAUUUUUUAUUUUUUUGGGACGGUGAAGUUUUGGUAGGGUUUCGUGGCCGAUGGAGGUCUCUACUUUGGUGAGAUUGGGGGUGAGAUCGGCCACCAGUGAAGCUUCCGUAGAUUCGAUCACUUUGUUCGUGGUUCUCCUAUGUUUAUGCAUUGUGAUUGGUCAUCUUCUGGAGAAGGCUCGAUGGAUGACGGAAUCGGUAACAGCGCUUCUCAUUGUAAGUUUCCUCAGAUUUUUAUGCUUUAGAACCGGUUUAGGAAUUCGAUUGCUUCUCUAAAUCGAAAAGUCAAAGGUGCUUCUAACCACAUUUGUUAACUAAUAUGUAAGUACUUCUGGAAAAGCACUUAGAUAUUUAAUAAAAGUCUGAGUAUGUUUCUAGUCUAGCAGAAGCACUUAUGAGCAGAAUCGGAUAUUACCUAAUUGUUUUGAAAUUUGUGGAUGACUGUUAUUGGGGUUUGAUUGCAGGGUCUUUGUAUUGGAAUUGUUAUUCUACUAACUACCAAGGGGAAAAGCUCACACAUCUUAGUAUUUAAUGAAGAUCUCUUCUUUAUAUAUCUUCUGCCGCCUAUUAUAUUUAACGCCGGGUAAGCUAUGUAUUUCGUAUCUAUUUCAUAUCUCUUCCUUCUCAUUGUGAUUUGUGUUUGUGUGCGCGCUUAUUUGUGCGUGUGCUCCUUGGCCGCAAUAUAUUCAAAAGGAGGGAAGGUUCAUCAUGAUCAAAUCUGAGUCGUUUAAGUAACAUUUUGCUUGGCAUUUAACAUGUCUCUAAUGGGAUGGAUACAAAUGUUAAGUUGUUUUAUUCUUGCAUCAUUCCUCAUUGUGUGUUAUAUUGAGGUGUCUUAAACUAGGGUUUUAUCGGUACUUUUUCCUCAUGGCUUGUUUGUGAUUGUUUUUCUGUGACCAAAGUUUAUACUUAUCUUUCCUUUCCUGGUCUCAUUCUUUUCCCACACCAGAUUUCAGGUGAAAAAGAAGCGGUUUUUCCAGAACUUCAUGACAAUCACGUCAUUGGGUGCUGUCGGCAGUUUAGUAUCAUUCGUAAUAAUAUGGCUAGGUUAGAUAUCCAAACAUGCCAUGGUAAGGCUGAUAUUACAAGAGAAACUAACGAAAGCUACGGUUUUUAAUGUUUGCAACUUCAUGAUCUUGAUGCAGGUUCAAUGCAUUUGUUUAAAAAUUUGGACGUUGGUUUCCUUGAGAUGGGAGAUUAUCUAGGUAAUCUCGUCGUUACUUUCUUAUUUUAGUCUACAUAACAUUCAAUUGAGUUUGCCCUAAUAAUUGUUUUGUAUUUGAAAAAUACUUCGUUUUGUUUGCCUUUUAUGUGCUCUUAUUUUUUGUUUCACUUCUGUAGCACUCGGAGCAAUCUUCUCGGCUACAGAUUCAGUUUGCACCCUGCAAGUGCUUAAUCAAGAUGAGACACCUUUACUCUACAGUCUAGUUUUUGGAGAAGGUGUUGUAAAUGAUGCCACAUCUGUGGUACUUUUCAACGCAAUUCAGAAAUUUGAUCUCUCUCGCAUCAACUCAACCAUUGCCUUGAAGUUUAGUGGCAAUUUCGUAUUUCUGUUGUUGACAAGCAUGGUGCUUGGUGCAGCGGUGACUCUCUCUCUCUCUCUCUCUCUCUCUCUCUCCCCCCCCCUCCCCAUCCUUCCCUCCGUCUCCCUCUCUCUCCCUCUGUGUGUGUGUGUGUGUUUGUUUGAAGAGCAUGCAUGUAAAUUUUCUCCGUUUCAUGAAAUGUAACCUAAAUCAAUUUCCAUGCAUGAUAUCCACUUGUAGGUUGGAUUGCUUAGCGCGUACAUCAUAAAGAAGUUGUACCUCGGAAGGUAGUGCUGAUGACCAUUUCUUAUAAUAAUACCCUAUUUUUCAAUGAUCAUGUCACUGUUUCUCUGAUAAUAAUUUUUAAAAUUUGUCCAGGCACUCGACUGAUCGUGAAGUUGCACUUAUGAUUCUAAUGGCUUAUUUGUCAUAUAUGGCGGCAGAAGUAAGAUUUCCAUAACCUCUUGGACUGAAAGCUCCAUCUAGUUUAGCUCCAGAUAUUUAUUUCUUGUUCAAUUCUGACCAAUUUUGUUCAUCUUCCAGCUAUUCAAUCUAAGUGGUAUUCUUACCGUUUUCUUUUGCGGGCUUGUCAUGUCACACUAUACCUGGCAUAAUGUAACUGAAAGUUCAAGAGUUACAACCAAGUAAGCCAACUUUGCCAAUAGUUUGCGUAGCAACGAAACUUAAUUUCUUUUUCUCAUAUAAAUGCACACAGAUGUAAAUGUAUAUAAAAAUACAGAACUUGGACAAAGAUGUCUUGUGUCUGUUUCUCACGUGCUAUUUCCGCAAGUGCAGGCAUGCUUUUGCAACGUUCUCGUUUGUUUCUGAGAUCUUCAUCUUUCUAUAUGUUGGUAUGGAUGCCUUGGACAUUGAGAAGUGGAAAUUCGUGAAGGAGAGGUAACACCUAUAUACAUGCACGUCAUAUAAUUUGUAAAACGUAUAACUCAUUAUGACAGGCAUGCAUUUUUCACUUUCGUCCAAAUGGAGCUUAUUUUCCUUGUGUUGGAUAGUGGCCAAAUUAGUGGCCAAGUGGACAACAAGCCAAAUGCCUCUCGGCUUUUAAACUAAACAAAGAAAAGUUUGGUGGACAUCAUCAUGGGUAAAGACACAAUGAUGAUGCUUGUAAGAAAAUAGAAAAAUGUGGUUGCUUUUGCUUUAAUGAUUAUGCAGAAAUUAUGAUGUUGGGGGAAGAAAAUGUGAGUGGCCUUGUGUUGAUGAGUGCAGCCGAAAGAGAGAAGAGGAGAGAGAGAAGGUAGAGUCUUUUGGUUAUAUUAAGGCAUUCGAUUAUGCCUUUGGUUGGGUGGGGGAGCAGCAUCAGAUGAGAGCCAUACUAGGGAGAGUGUUCGACUCUCCCAUUUGAAACAGUGUUGCUCCUUCCCAUUUGUUUGUAAUCCCCUUUUGUUAGUAAUCCCUCAAUCAAAGAUGUUGCUGCUACAUGUUGUGUAGCUUUUGGGAGAGGAGGAUUUGGUAUGUAUUUUCUUCUUCUCCGUUUGUUCUUUGUGAGAGUGAGAGCUAUUGGGUGUAUGUGGGAUGUGGGUUUGAGAGUUAAAACUCUAUUUGUAAUCUCCUUUUGAUAUUAGUGGAAUUUCCUGACCGUCUCGGAACUGAACAUAGGCUUAUGCCGAACCAGUAUAAAUACUUGUGUCAUUUGAAUUAUUUGUCUUAUCAUAUUUUGCCAUUGUAGCUUAUUGGUUUCAUAUUUGACGCUUCCGCACAACACCUUGUUCGUUUACAGCCCUGGGACAUCAAUUGGAGUCAGUUCGAUAUUACUUGGCUUAGUUCUUGUUGGAAGAGCAGCUUUUGUAUUUCCUCUAUGUUUCUUAUCAAACUUAACCAGGACAUCUCAGAUUGACAAAAUCGGGUUUAAGCAACAGGUUAGCUAUUUUCCAAAUCUGCUACUUCAAACUUUUCAGCCUCUUGAAUUUCUUAGUGAUUGACUGGUCGACAUAACUCAAACAGGUGACAGUAUGGUGGGCAGGACUCAUGCGUGGUGCUGUAUCCGUGGCUCUUGCUUAUAAUUGGGUAAGAAUAGGAUCAAAUUUAAUGUGUUUCCUAGUUUUCUUUUACUGCCACCCAAUAUUUUAUUUGGUUUAUACAGAUUGCGUACAAUUACAAGCACUCGUCAUUCAUCUGCAUUUGUGUUUUAAUGUAAGGAAGUUUGUAUUAUGCUGUGUUUCUUCAGUUUGCAAUGUCAACGCAUACUCAACAGCGUGGAAUUGCAAUCAUGAUCACUAGUACGAUAACAGUAGUUCUCUUCACUAAUGUGGUACAAUACUAAAUCGCUGGUUAACUUUUUUCAGUUCAUAUGAUUAACUAUUUUCUCAUGAGUUCAUUCUUUAAUUCCAAAUCGGUCUUUGGCCAUUGUAGGUGUGCGGAUUAUUGACUAAGCCUCUCGUAAGGUUCUUGUUGCCGCAACAGAAUCACUUAGAUAGCAUGAUGAUGUCCUCUGAGUCGGAGAUGUCUCUGGCUAUGCCGCUCCUCGCUAAUGAGGAAGAUCCAAAGUCAAAUAUGUCUAGCGAUAACAUUCCUCGUCCAUCCAGCCUGCGCAUGCUCUUGACGACACCAACUCGUUCUGUCCAUUACUAUUGGAGAAUGUUUGAUGAUGGUUACAUGCGUCCUGUCUUUGGCGGUAGAGGAUUCGUUCCUUAUGCUGCCGGUUCACCCAAUGAAAAUAUGCAUCAACCGUUACUCAGUGAGCAGAAAAUUGUGGAGUUGUAACUUCAGGAUUGAUUGUUCGUUGGGUUACUUUGGUGUAAAUAGUCAAAAUUAUAAUUUAUAGGCAGUUCUUCCUGAGCCUCAUCAGUCUAACAAACACGAUACGCCCUGAAAAAUAAAUGUUUUUGGUGUAUAGAGUUUGACUCAUUUGGAUGUGCUUUUAAAAUGUAAAGCGCUUUUAGGGAAAAUGUUUUUGGGUUCCAAAAGCACUUUAAGUGUUUUUGUAAGAAGCACCAGUUAUGUACUUCUUCCAGGAAGCAUUUAAGUGCUUUUUCAAAAUUUAUUUACAUUUUUACUAAGGAUUGGUUCCAAAAACAUUUUCACCAAAAACGCUUUUAGUUAUUUUAAAAGUACAUCCAAACAAUAUUUUGUAGUAUUGUAUAUGGAGCUUAUGAAAGAAAUAGGAUCAAUUACUGUGCCUUGGUGUACAAGAUAGUGUUUUCAGUCAAUACAAGGAGGAGGACAUAAAACCAAAGCCUCGUCGGAAACAGACAUAAAGUAGACAAAGGUCAAACCGUGAGUGAAAUAGUAUAAAGAAUUACACAAGGCCACGCAAAACAAGAUUAAGAUAGUAAGUAAAAUAUUACUUUAUUCGAAAUAACAACAUGACAGAUGACUCCAAUUUCACACCAUAACUUCAACUUGUACUCAUCACCCUGAAAUAAACUCGAUGUGAUGCUCUUUGUUUCUCUCUUCACCUGAUUGACACUCUCAGAUCUCUAUCUCCUUACGUAGUGACGAGAAGAGGCUUCGAGGCAGUAUCAUCGCCAGGCUUAUCGGGAGUGUCAUCCUUAGGCUUAGUGGGAGUAUCAUUGAAGCAACCACAGCAGCACAAGAUCCUGCAAUACCACCGACAGCAACACAUUUCAGAUUUGAUUUCAUAACUUCUUAUGCUCUAUAAAAAAGAAUGAUAAUUAGAAAUAAAAAUAUAAAGGGGUUGUUGGUCACAGAUCAUAAUUACCAAGAACACCAAGUAGCACUACUGUCAACUCCUGCAGCGCCGCUAGAUUCUCCUGCGACAUUGACAUGUGCUCUUCCGCCGCCUCCAGGCCCUCCUCCUCCGCCUACAGGCCCUCCUCCUCCGCCUACAGGCCCUCCUCCUCCACCGCCACCUCCACCACCUCCACCUCCACCUCCACCACCACCACCUCCACCCCCUCCUCCACCACCGCCUCCUCCGCCGCCGCCAGGUGCCAUCACUAACCCUUUAAACAAGUGAGAGUAGCAAAUGCCAACCCAAAAGAAGACAACUUAAUUUCAAUCGGACUUUGGAGAUGUUGCUCUGAUCAGUCUGAUCCCAAUAAGAAUAUAUAGAAAUCUCAAUAAGUUGAGUUUGAUUACCAAUUAGUCCCACUUGUUUUAAGGUCUUUUUAUAUUUCAUUCUAUAUCAUAACUAAUUGAUUUGUUGCAAGACUUGCAUGUGGCAUGCAUUCUGUACUUUCAAAAUUUUCUUUUAUCAAUAGGAGGUUCCGAGAAGAAUACGAACUUGAGACCUUUUCAAUACUGAAAAGAAAAUUAGCAUAUGUCGUGUUUUUCUGUCUUUUAUUUCCAAUUUAACACAAUUGAAAUCUCAUUUUGGCGACACUGGUUUUAAGCAGUACUUAGCUGCUGUUUGUUACUCUCAAGCUUCAAGUUCUCCCAUUUAGUUUACUACCUAGUUGCAAUAUAUGAUUCUACUUGAACUUUAUUUCUAGGUAAACCAAGCCUUUGGCAUAUUAGUUCCAUCAUGCAUAAAUAGGAUACAUGAUUUAAUUCAUGCAUUCAUAAUAACUUUAAGUUGCUACAUAUACAUACAUAUAUAUAACUAGUCCGCGCAAGUAUACGCUCGGGUCUUGACAAUACCAGCUCUUGAAGGUGAACAUGUACAAAUUAACACAUCAAACAACUCUUCACUCAAAACCACAAGUCAUACCAGACAACUAAUUACAUCAUCAGCAACUUGCAUGCAGUUGAUUACGUUAUGGUUAAGUUAAGUAGUGAGUUAUAAAUUCAAGUCAACAAUUUAUAUGUUUUAAUUAAUUAGUCCCUAAUUAAGCCAAUAAUUCUAUAAUUUCGCAAAUAAUGAAAGACUGAAAUGGUCAAGUCCUCAACAUUUAAUUAAUGGAGUAAUUAAUUAACGAGUAUAUUUUACUAUAUUUCGAUGAGAUCGUCAACAAUUAGCGGAGUAAUUAAUGGGCUGUUCUUAAAAAUUAGUUCUAAUAAAUCAGACACAAUUGCACAGACAUGUUCUCAUGUACAAAUUAUACUUGGAACCCGCAUACAUGGACAAAGAUUGUCAUGUGAUCGUGUUUUGUUUUCACACUGCAGCGACCACUGUUAGUAAAUCUGUAAAUAUAUACAAAUUAAUACAUGAAACUUGGAUAAAGAAGUAGCGUGACUGUUAAUUUCAGACAUUUUCAUCUUCUGUUUGUUGGUAAGGAUGUCUGGACACUGAAAAAGUUGGAAACUUAUAAGCAAGAAGUACGUAUUUACGGUCGACUUGUUAGAGGGGACCUCGUUCCACUGUUCAUGGACUGUUAAGGGUUAAGCUUUAGGCCGCACGGUAUAUGUUUACACAAUCCUAUUUACACAAUCCUAUUUAUAUCCGCUCAAUAAAACUAACUAGAUAUAUAUCUUAUGCACAUAUAUAUAUAUAUAAAAAUUUAACCUGGGGACCUUGGGGUCAAUUCAAUUCAAUAUAUAAUAUAUAAUUAACUUGGGGACCUUGGUCAAUUCAAUUCAAUAUUACUUGGCCAGGUUCUUUUUGGGUUCUCUACCGGCAACAUUGAUUGGCUUUAAACAGAUUGGUUAUGUAGAGGACAGCACCACCGGAGGUUGAAGAUCCUCCUCCUCCUGCGACUGCGCGCUUAAUGUAUGGCCUAUUGGUAAUGGCGUUUGAUCUUUUGCUGAUUAUUUGGCUCUUGAACUCAUUGACAUGACUCAAACAGGUGGAGAUGGUAUGGUACGCAUUUGGCCGAAAUGGGUAACCACUAGGUUCUAGCUAUGUGUUAAUUGUGAUGGCGAAUGGUGAUGAGUUGUGGUCGUGGUAGGAUGAUCCGGGUACUGUCCCAUGGGAUUUAGGCAAGAUGAUCCCUUGCUAACGACGUUAGCGAGAUCCAAAUUCCUGUAGCAUUCCGGUCCACCUUGCUAACGAGCGCUUGUUCUGCGAUUACUAUAGGAAAAUGUUUUAUGAUGGUUUCAUAAGUCCUGCCUAAUAUGCAUCAAUCGCUACUUGGGGAGCAAACAGCCGUAGAAUAAUAUUUAUAACUUGUAGGCACUAGGCAGUGCUAGCUCCCUCUGAGCCCCAUCGAUCAGAAGAGGCAAAAUGCUUUGUAAAAUGAUGUACAACCUAAACGUUCUUCUCAGCACUUGAAUUUUCAAUAAAAAUCAUGUGCUUGUAGCAAAACGCUAUGAGCAGGAGCGAUUUCUACAUGAGCAUCUCCAACAAGUCGUUGAACUCCUUUCUAUCUCACAAUUCCUUUGACAUAAAGGUUGGCAGAUUUUGCAGUAUGCUUGUAGUUGGAAUUUUUUUUCGAUAUAAACACUCAUGUCAAUAAAAUGAUCUGAAUCCGUUAUUUUAUUGGAAAAAGAAAUUGGAAAAAAUGCAAAAGGACUUCUGAAUUUGAUGAGAAAAAGAACGAGGUUCUUUCUCAAGAGGAUUGCUCAGUCAGUACAUCAUCGAUUUGGAAGAGAUUAAAGAACAAGAUUAUUCAAAGUUAUAGUUUAACAAAAUGAUUCAGAAUUCACACUCUGUACCCUGGUCAAUGAAUAAAGUAACACACUUCUAAAAAUAAACAGUGUAGUGGUAAAACAAAUUGGCAUCACAAGAUUCAGUAGGGAGGUGGUCCUCCUGGAGGUCCAUAUCCACCAUGAGGACCUCCGCCGAAGCAUUCAUGCAGCAAACCGCAGCAGCACAAGAAGUAGAAGCUGCAAUAUUCCAGUUUCCCCAGCAAUAACAAGAAGUAAACACUUCAGAUUUCAAUUCAUAACCUUCGAAUAUUUAAAGGGAAGCGAUUUUAACACUCCUCUUUUAUCUGAACUCCAAAACCGAAGAUGUAUAACUUUUUAUGCAUUCGCAAGUAGAGUUCGGGAUGCUAGUUGAGAAGUAUUAAAAUCGCCGAAACGACAAACUUUGCAAGCAGUGUCAAAAUAAAUAAACAUCAGAAUGGUGCAUAAGAAUAAUGAUCAGAAACAAAAAUGCUGUAAGGGUGUGUUAUCGUAAUUACCAAGAAGAUAUCAUGCUGCAUAAUCCAUCAGCAAACCCUCCAAAAAAGCCAGGUCCUCCUCCCAUGAAACCAAGACCCCAAGGGCCUCCCAUGCCAAAGCCCCAGCCACCAGGUCCUCCAGGCAAGGGUCCCCAUCCACCGGGUCCCCCAGGCCCUGGCCCCCAUCCGCCAGGUCCCCCAGGUCCAUGGCCGCCCCAUCCACCAGGGCCGCCCCAUCCUCCAGGGCUGCCCCAUCCACCAGGUCCUCCAGGCCCAGGGCCUCCCCAUCCACCACCGCCUGGGCCUCCCCAGCCACCACCGCCUGGGCCUCCCCAGCCACCUCCGCCUGGGCCUCCCCAGCCACCUCCUCCUGGACCGCCACCGCCCGGUCCUCCUCCACCAGGUCCUCCAGGAUCCAUCACUAGCCCUCUAUCUUACAAUUUAACAGCCGCAGCCACCACCCAAUGAGGCAACAAAAGUAAGACUGCCUAGAUGUAGCUGAUCCGAAUAGAGAAUAGAAUAUCAAAGCUAACUAAACAAGUUUUCAGUUGACUGUAUGUAAACAAAAUCAAC
Molecule: long non-coding RNA, 21529 nt
Filed under: Malus domestica (apple)
Lineage: Eukaryota; Viridiplantae; Streptophyta; Magnoliopsida; Rosales; Rosaceae
Source: RNAcentral